CCGAAUCAUCUAAUCUAAGGUAUAUCUUUAUUAGUAACUAUAUAAUUUAUUCGGUUAUUAAAUGUGUGCAUUACUUAAUCCUGCUUAAUGGAGUUUUCAUUUUAAGAUAUGAAAGAUAGAAAGCACGUAUGAUUGUGCUGACAGACGAUGUAAACCUUUGAAGAAUUCGAAACGAAAUUAUUUAGCUAAAGGCAGAUCGGUUCAAGACCAUGAUAAGGACCUUUAGAACCGCGUCCCAUCUCUCGGUACUUAUCAUGAUAUUACAUAGAGAUGCUGAAUACCCUAAAGAUAAAUAAAACAGCUUGUUUAUAUACAUAACGAUACGGUGUUGAUGGUACCAACUAUUGAAGAUCAAAGUAGUUGUAUAUACAUGCACAACAUUGCACUUUUGUUAUGUAGUUAAAUACACUGAGCUCUAAUAGCAAUACCAACCAUUUCACAGUUAUAUAUCUGUAUAAGAUGGUAAGGUGUCUUUAUAGUUAUGAAUGAAGUAAAUAGCAAUACAUGCACUCGGGGGGUGGGGGCGGGGGAAUAUUCUAUUCAUUUUCGAAAAUGUUAACGGGAAACUAUUUUGUAUCGUAAAAGUAAAUGUUAUAAAUAUUGCCACUUACAAAUGUAUUUGUAUACCUUCAACAAUAAAAUAAAUUGAGAUAAUUCUUACUUUACAUGAAGAUGGCAACAGUAAAAUUUAUACAAGUUGCGUCAGUGGAGUUAUUAUCUUUGGUUAUUGGUAGAUUGGUUGUCUUAGACUUAAGAUUUGCUUGUGUUUUGGCAGAUCCAAGAUUUGUCUGUUAAAGUUUCAUUUGAAAAAAAAAAACUAAUGGUGUUCACCCAGAAAUGAGUGGACAGUUUUGAUAAUACCGAUAUGGUGACUCUCAGAGUAAAAUGUUUUAACUUCAAUACACAAUUAUUUAGACUCACUGCAGCUGAUAGGAAAUAAUCGAUUUAUCAUUAAGAGUAUCCUAAAAAUUAAAUGAUUUUUUUAAAGUAAAGAGAUUGGAAAAUAGAUAUUCAACUGAUAUUCUGUGAAAUCUUUACAAUAUGUAGUUUGUUUUUAUUUUUUAGAGGUCAAUUUACGAAAUUAGGAAUCAUUAUUUUAUAUAUAAUUAGAUAAAAAGAAAUCCGCGGAGCCACCGGGAUAUUUUUUGUAAUAGUUUAACAAAUUUUAAAUACUGAAAGACGAGCGUUUUGUUUUCAGAGAGCUGAAUUUACCAAAUUAUUCAUUUGAUUAGAAUGAAUUUACAACAUUUUAUUGUAAAUAGAAUGGUUGUAGAAAUACUGUUCAUGUUGAGACGUAUGAGUCGUAUUUGCCUAACCCCAAACACUGUUUUACUCUUUGGCCAAAAUACAUAAAUGAAAAUAAAAAAAAAUGAAAAUAAAUGAAAAUGGACUCUGACUAACUCCUAGACUAUUGCUUCUAUAGACUAUAAUAAGUUGGGGGGGGGGGUCUUUCUUGUCACUCUCAGUUGUUUUUAGAUAACAGUACAGAACUGUAUAAAAUUUGCAAUACUAACGUAUACUUGAAAUAAAUGAAAAUAUAUGAAAUGUCGUGAAAUUUAAAAUAAUCGUCGGAUAACUGCUUUGAGAUUUUAUCUUAAAUGACAAAUAAAAAAAAUAACUGCAUUGAUAUUGUCCGUCUGUCGUCAUUUUUAUGCAAAUCGUUUUAAUGUCCGCCAUGAAAAAAGCCAUAUAACAAAAUAUUACAAGUUCCUUCUCUCUGUCGUACAGAUAUCUUUACAUAUGAUCAGCGUGUGCCUCAAGGGCCCAAUUCAACUUGAAAUUAUAGUGCAGAUAAAUUUGAUGUUUCUAAGAUAUACUUUAUUUUAUGAUAAUGUUGAUAUUUAUGAUAUUUAAUGUAUAUAUUUUGAUAUGUUUGGGUCUGAAGUGAGAAAAAAUACUAUUAAUUUAAGGAUGGCACUUCUCCGAGCACUUCUCUGGUCAUUGAAAACAGGUGCACGAUUCUGUUUGAAGUCGAGGUAUGAGUAAUAUAGACGUGUUUUAUUGGAUGGAGAUUCAUAGAGGCAUGGGGUUGUACCAUAAUCUCUAAACUCGAGACUGUAAAUACUUCUGGCGUUAUUACUCCCACAUUUGACCAUUACACUUGAAUUAAGGGCAUCCGAUACAGUUUUGAUCCCGUAUUUACAGUUUGAUGAAAAUUUCCAUAUAGGCUAUUUUUUGUCUGAUUAAAUCAAAUAUGUUAUAAAAAAUAUACCAUGUGCAACUUUUUGAGUAAUAUGAGUUCGAAAUUUUGUAUAUUUGCUCAAAAUUCGGAUUUGUGGCCGUAUUUUCCCUUUCGUAAGAAAACCAUAACCUUUUUUGUUUUAAAAGAUUGUUUUUGUUAAAUAAUUUGUUAUUUCUGCAUUUUAUAAGUAAAAAAAAACUUAUGCAUUUUCUAUUCAGAAAUAACUCACAUUUAUCAAAUGGUCAUGAAUUGAGAUAAAAAACCGUAUCUUUUUGCUGUAUAUUUAUCAAAAUUAAAAAAAUUGCACUAUUUACAGUUUUAUUAAAUUUUGUCCACAUAAUCUCCCUGCAAAAUGAAACAAAAUGUAGUUUUAAAGAAUAGGGGUCCAUGCACUCGUUUUCAAAUUAAAUCAGUUUGAAUGAUAAAAAUCAGUCGAAAAAUGCAUCUUUUCCCGAUAUGUCAUAGUUUGACGUCGCGAAAAUAACAUUUUACGUUAGCAACGUCAUUACCUCCCCUGUAACUGUAUCGUAUGCCCUUAAGCAAUAUUAAUCACAUGACCAAGUUUAAUUCACUAUUUUUACAUAAGAAAAUGUCUGUACUAAGUCAGGAAUAUGACAGUUAUUUUCCAUUCGUUUGAUGUGUUUGAGCUUUUGAUUUUUGCCAUUUGAUUAGAAACCUUUCGUUUUGAAUUUUCAGUAUUUUUUGAGUUCAGUAUUUUUGUGAAUUUACUUUUUGAACGUGCAAUAUAGUAUUUUACCAAAACGCGGUUGUAUGAAAUGACCAGCUUUAAAUUGGUAGACACUUCUUUUUACUGCGAACAUCAACGCCAGUUAAUAUUUAGUCUUGUUAUCCAAAGAAUUUACUCUUAUCAAAACUCUGAUAAAGAAAAGAAAUGUAUGUCCAUCCUGGUCAAAUUUAAAAAUUCUGAUACUAUCAACUAUUUGACAUUUCCGGUUUUAAACUUUUUAUUGUAGAUGUGUCUUAAUUUUUAUAUUACAUAUAUAACAGUUUUUGUGUAUACAAAUAUAUCUGUCUAUGUCCUUAUGUUUUACAGUUAGCUUUUUUGCUUGUGAAUAAACCAUUUGUCAUUCCGGGACCUUUUAUAGCUGACUGCAGUAUGGGUUUUACUCAUGUUUGAAGGCCGUACGGUGACCUAUAGUUGUUGAUUUCUGUGUCAUUUGAUAUCUUGUGGAGAGUUUCCUCACAAUCACACUUCAUCUCUAUAUUUCUUUAAAUGUAAUAUUAUCAUCUGUGCAUGAAAAUAUGAGCUAAAGUUUACUCAACAGUAAAUGUGAAUUCAUUUUUUAUUACUACUAAUGAUAUUGUAUAUCUCAAUAAACAUAUAUUAUUAUUCAUAAAUACAUAAUGCCAAAGUAAAAUCUUAAACAGAUCGUCAAAGUAUUUCAUUUUAAUCAUUUUUCAGGUGCACUUUAGCAGUAAAGAUAAGGUACGAUACUGGUUCCUGGUUCUCACGACGUUAGAUAAUCUCCAACUGAUCCUUAUCUUUCGGUAAAACAUUUUUGACAGUCUUGAGCUACUGACAGAAAGCCAUGGCAGUUGACAUAACUUUAGUAUAUUACAUUUAUCAUUAUAACUUGUAUUUUUGUGAUAUUGAACAGACCACG
This 3807-nucleotide long non-coding RNA is filed under the name Mytilus galloprovincialis (Mediterranean mussel). Lineage: Eukaryota; Metazoa; Mollusca; Bivalvia; Mytilida; Mytilidae. The record is from RNAcentral.